CAGUCGCCGCGGUAAUACGUAGGGUGCAAGCGUUAAUCGGAAUUACUGGGCGUAAAGCGUGCGCAGGCGGUUAUAUAAGACAGAUGUGAAAUCCCCGGGCUCAACCUGGGAACUGCAUUUGUGACUGUAUAGCUAGAGUACGGCAGAGGGGGAUGGAAUUCCGCGUGUAGCAGUGAAAUGCGUAGAUAUGCGGAGGAACACCGAUGGCGAAGGCAAUCCCCUGGGCCUGUACUGACGCUCAUGCACAAAAGCGUGGGGAGCAAACAGGAUUAGAUACCCGAGUAGUCCCUGUCUCUUAUAA
This 301-nucleotide ribosomal RNA is filed under the name uncultured bacterium. RNAcentral's name for it is "partial 16S ribosomal RNA". It matches the Rfam family "Bacterial small subunit ribosomal RNA", at positions 509 to 809 of the family's 1533-position model. The record is from RNAcentral.